Molecule: transfer RNA, 67 nt
Filed under: Klebsiella pneumoniae
Lineage: Bacteria; Pseudomonadati; Pseudomonadota; Gammaproteobacteria; Enterobacterales; Enterobacteriaceae
Description: tRNA-Ile
Rfam family: tRNA
About the family: Transfer RNA (tRNA) molecules are approximately 80 nucleotides in length. Their secondary structure includes four short double-helical elements and three loops (D, anti-codon, and T loops).
Source: RNAcentral
AGGCUUGUAGCUCAGGUGGUUAGAGCGCACCCCUGAUAAGGGUGAGGUCGGUGGUUCAAGUCCACUC